GAUGAAGAACGUAGCGAAAUGCGAUAAGUAAUGUGAAUUGCAGAAUUCAGUGAAUCAUCGAAUCUUUGAACGCACAUUACGCCCUUUGGCAUUCCGAAGGGCACACCUGUCCGAGCGCCGUCGCACAACUGAGGCGCAGCCUUGCGUUGGCGGGCGACUUGUGAGUAGCGAGUCGCCGCCCAAACGAGACGGCGCCGCGCCGCGGCCGACGAAGCACGAAAGCGGAAGUCGACGCGGAGGCGGUUGCCUGUAGGAAGACACAGCUUGGCCUCGGAUCAGGUGGGGAUACCCGCUGAACUUAAGCAUAUCAAUAAGCGGAGGA
This 322-nucleotide unclassified non-coding RNA is filed under the name soil metagenome. Its description in RNAcentral is "partial contains 5.8S ribosomal RNA, internal transcribed spacer 2, and large subunit ribosomal RNA". The stretch from base 1 to 120 matches the Rfam family "5.8S ribosomal RNA", at positions 35 to 154 of the family's 154-position model. The record is from RNAcentral.